RNAcentral lists this ribosomal RNA (1026 nucleotides) under Streptococcus constellatus. RNAcentral's name for it is "bacterial SSU rRNA". It matches the Rfam family "Bacterial small subunit ribosomal RNA", at positions 91 to 1104 of the family's 1533-position model. The record is from RNAcentral. Lineage: Bacteria; Bacillati; Bacillota; Bacilli; Lactobacillales; Streptococcaceae.
GUGAGUUGCGAACGGGUGAGUAACGCGUAGGUAACCUGCCUGGUAGCGGGGGAUAACUAUUGGAAACGAUAGCUAAUACCGCAUAAGAACAUUUACUGCAUGGUAGAUGUUUAAAAGGUGCAAGAGCAUCACUACCAGAUGGACCUGCGUUGUAUUAGCUAGUUGGUGAGGUAACGGCUCACCAAGGCAACGAUACAUAGCCGACCUGAGAGGGUGAUCGGCCACACUGGGACUGAGACACGGCCCAGACUCCUACGGGAGGCAGCAGUAGGGAAUCUUCGGCAAUGGGGGGAACCCUGACCGAGCAACGCCGCGUGAGUGAAGAAGGUUUUCGGAUCGUAAAGCUCUGUUGUUAAGGAAGAACGUGUGUGAGAGUGGAAAGUUCACACAGUGACGGUACUUAACCAGAAAGGGACGGCUAACUACGUGCCAGCAGCCGCGGUAAUACGUAGGUCCCGAGCGUUGUCCGGAUUUAUUGGGCGUAAAGCGAGCGCAGGCGGUUAGAUAAGUCUGAAGUGAAAGGCAGUGGCUCAACCAUUGUAGGCUUUGGAAACUGUUUAACUUGAGUGCAGAAGGGGAGAGUGGAAUUCCAUGUGUAGCGGUGAAAUGCGUAGAUAUAUGGAGGAACACCGGUGGCGAAAGCGGCUCUCUGGUCUGUAACUGACGCUGAGGCUCGAAAGCGUGGGGAGCGAACAGGAUUAGAUACCCUGGUAGUCCACGCCGUAAACGAUGAGUGCUAGGUGUUAGGUCCUUUCCGGGACUUAGUGCCGCAGCUAACGCAUUAAGCACUCCGCCUGGGGAGUACGACCGCAAGGUUGAAACUCAAAGGAAUUGACGGGGGCCCGCACAAGCGGUGGAGCAUGUGGUUUAAUUCGAAGCAACGCGAAGAACCUUACCAGGUCUUGACAUCCCUCUGACCACUCUAGAAAUAGAGUUUCCCUUCGGGGCAGAGGUGACAGGUGGUGCAUGGUUGUCGUCAGCUCGUGUCGUGAGAUGUUGGGUUAAGUCCCGCAACGAGCGCAACCC